GCCCGCCCGCCGCCAGCGGGGCUUUAUAAGCGGGGAAAUGGCCCGAACGCCGCAGUCGGAGCAUCUGUGGGCGCGGUGGUGCGGGCUCUGUUCGGGCACGGAGCGGUAGCGAUGCCGGACCGAUUCCCCCCUCCACCCGCAUCUCCCCCCUCGACCAUCUCGGGAUCGUCCCCUCCGGGAGAUGUGAGCGCGGAUGAUGGUGGUGGGGUGAUGCGGCGGCUGGGAGGCGGCCCGCUGAGGUUUUGGUACCUGCCGUCGCUGAUGGGCAGAUGGAUGUGAUGGCUGUUGGAGUGUCCUUUGUACCUGGAAGAGAGAAGGCACAGUCAGCCUGACCGUGUGUGGGUUUGGGACUUUUUCCCCCCUUGGCCAAGCAAGGAGGAUUUACCUUGAGACUUCUUCUGUCUGCUGGGAUAUCGCACCUGGAGCCCUCAUGGACUGCCGUGGGUUUUGGAUGCACCCUUCUGCCUGUAGCUGGAAAUGCGUGCUGCUGCCAGGUGGCCACAGACACCUGCUCCUCUAAACCUGCUGGAUUAUUUCUUUUGGCAUCACUCAGCCAGCGUGGCAGCUUUUCCUCAGCUCGUGCAACUGCCUUUGGUGUUUGAGAUCACCUGACUUGCAGAUGUAGAGAGCUGCAGUUGCAGCCCAGCCUGCAGACACCUCUCCUUUUUGGGCUACUAUUUCUCAGUGUUGCAGCACUUUGGGAGAAGAUCCCGUCCAUACACAUGUGUGGGAAUGUCCUGCUGGUCUGAGGGCCAGCAGUGGAGGCUUGAGGUGCACCUGAGAGGAGAGCCGAUGCACUGCAGCAGGAGCAGCCACCAGGACCUCACCAUGGAUGGGAGGGAGGAAGGACAGAGGCAGCACAGUGCCCGGCACCCGCAGGGAUUGGGAUGCACCCGGGGUCAUGCCGUGCUCCUUCCCCAGCACUGACGUGGGAAUGGCCCCAGUGCAGCCUCCCACCAUCGCCACUGUGAUCCGGGGUCCUGAGCUGACCUCGCUCUCCUGCACCCACGCAGGGCAGGGAUGGCUGAAUUACUGCUCCCUGCUGCACUCUGCACAUCCUCCUCCUGGCCGGGUGGCCUCAGGAUCUGUGGGGCUGGAUGGCUGCGUGCUCUCGGGUCAAACAGUAGCUCCAUUUUUUCCCUUGUGAAGCACCAAGAGCUUGCCCGGUUCCAAGGAAGUGGCUGUGGAUUUUUGUUUUAUUUUAUUUCUUCUCUCCUCCGUUGUUCUUUCUGAAUCUUUUGGGGAGUUUUGGGCUCUUAUCGAGGAUGCCCAGACCUGCACUGGGUGCAGCCCAAUGCAGAGGGGCGAAUGCCUCUGGAGAAGCAACGGGAGCAGCACACCAAGAGCUGGCAACUGCAGUGCCUUGGGACUGAGACUGUCUGGGAGCUGUGUUCCUUCACAUUGCAUAGCUGCAUCCUCCCCAACACAUCUCAUAAGGGUGAGGUGGGAUUCUGGGGGGCACAAAGCCAAACCGCAGCGAGGGGGACGUCAAGAAGGGGAAAAAUGUCACCCUCAGAAACAAUUAAACUGCUUAAUAAAAUCCGUUGCCUCUCGGA
Molecule: long non-coding RNA, 1556 nt
Organism: Centrocercus urophasianus (Greater sage-grouse)
Lineage: Eukaryota; Metazoa; Chordata; Aves; Galliformes; Phasianidae
Exons: 3
Source: RefSeq, a predicted model, not a curated record